UACAUAGGGGGCAAGCGUUGUUCGGAAUUACUGGGCGUAAAGGGCGCGCAGGCGGCUAUCCAAGUCAGGCGUGAAAGCCCCGGGCUUAACCUGGGAGGUGCGUCUGGGACUGGGUGGCUAGAGUUCGGGAGAGGAGAGUGGAAUUCCCAGUGUAGAGGUGAAAUUCGUAGAUAUUGGGAAGAACACCGGUGGCGAAGGCGGCUCUCUGGACCGAGACUGACGCUGAGGCGCGAAAGCGUGGGGAGCAAACAGG
This 253-nucleotide ribosomal RNA is filed under the name uncultured bacterium. RNAcentral describes it as "partial 16S ribosomal RNA". It matches the Rfam family "Bacterial small subunit ribosomal RNA", at positions 524 to 776 of the family's 1533-position model. The record is from RNAcentral.